UCCCCUUCUCUCUUUAUAUUUCCCUCUCUAGCACAAAUAAAAACACAAUCUUUCCCUGUCUAACUACAUACAAAACUCUUUCUUUUCUUUUUUUCUUUUAGUUUUUGAGAGAGAGACCCAGUAGAUAGAAAUCUUCUAUCUUCUAUCUUCUGUCUCUCCUUUUUUUUUUUUUUUAAGUUUGGAGAAGAUCUAAGCUCCUCUAAUGGAUUUGCAAUAACACCCACUUUUUUAUUAGCCGCGUAAUUAUGAUUUUUUUUAAGCUUAUUUGCUGGGUGUGUGUUUUGAUAGAGUCAGUCUCUUGGACUCUAUGAAAUUUGUCAAUGGUGUCUGUCGAAUGAUUGAAUCUAUGGGAAUUCUUGAGUAUAUGAGAUAGUAGGAUAUGGGUAUGAGGUAAUAUUUAUUUAUUUUGCAUUUUCUUUCAAUCUAAUUUGAUUCACGGUUUUUCCUUGUUUGGCUCUUUGAUUAAUUAGCUUUUAAUUUGUUUCAUGCUUUUAGUAGUAAGUAGUCUUGAUUUUGAGUUUGAUAAAUUGUUGGGAUUAUUGCUUGAUCUGGGGAUUAAAACAAAAGACACUUUCUAGAUCUGGGGAUUUUAGUUAAGUUUGAUUUUUGGGUUUUUCUUAUUUGAUGAUUUGGUUAAUUAAGUUUUAAUUUGUUUCAUGCUUUUAUUAAUAAGUAGUUUUGAGUUUGAGUUUGAUAUAUUGUCGGGUUUAUUGCCUGAUAUGGGGGAUUAAAACAAAAGAUCACCUGUUUCAUCUUGGGGAUUAAAAUAAAAAGACACCUGUUUGAUCUGGGAGGUAGUGAAGCACCAUCACAAACCCCAUCUUUUAGCAGACAAGGUAAUUGUCCAGUUUUAGAUUCUGGGACCCACGUGAAAUAACAUAUAGCUCUGGUACUGAUAUGUAAAACAAAAACAUGUUUGAUCUGGGAUGCUGGUGAACUUGAGAGUUGAGAGCAUUUUUGGGCCUUCUAGGGUUUUGAUUCGUCAUGAACUCAUGGGCCCAUGGAGAGGGCAUCUUUUUCCUGUUUAAAAACGAUAUACCCAAGAUGGAGCAGAUUGCAAUGAUCUGGGGAGAAACAAUGAGAGAGACCUUUGUAGAUGAGAUGAUCUGGCUAAAAGUCUUUUUUGGGCUUCUGCGGCCGCUUUUUACCUUUAACAACAAUCGGGUAUUGCUAACUUUCCUGUUUUUAUUUUUACUGUUCAAUCUUCCAGUUCCAAAUUCUCAUACCCUAACUUGCAAUGCUCCUGCGCCUAGCAUUAGAUUUAUUGUGAGGAAUGGCAUAUGAUGUUUAUAUUUUAAACAUCUCUAUUAACUGCCUCUGAAACUUGAUUUUGCUUUUUUAUGUUUUGGUGUUCAAACUUGGCAUUUAACUGCUUUGUAUGAAAUCUAAUUGCUGGUGCCAUAAUAAAUGUUGGAUAUUUACAAUUAUAAUGCUUGGAUGGAUAUUAUUUGCAAAGACAGGUGGAAGGAUAUUGUUUUGCAAAGGCAAGUGGAUGAGGUUAAAAUACAAUGGUCAGCCAAGGUUACGCUUCUGACUUUCAUAGUCAUAACAUCCUGAUCAAUGGCCAUUGUAAGAGUAGAAGGAUCCAUGAAGCAAAACAUUGACUCCUGAUAUUCCACUCUUACAGAGUCCAUUGAUUAAGAUGUUAUAACAUUGUUCUGAAAGGAUUUCUUCUCAAAAACUGCACAUCAUGUGUUGUGCAAGAUCUCAACGAAAAAGGUUUGGAUCUGGUAUCAGAUGGAAAAAUUAUAGUGUUUCUACUAGGAGAUUCUCAAAAUGGAAAUUUCAAUCGAAAUAUCUUUUUCAGCUCAGCAGUGCUGUGGUGGUCUUUCUUUAAAAACAGCUAUGCUGCUACAACUCAUCCUCUUGAAUUCUUUUUGAAGUUUGAUGAUCGAGACGAUGUUGCAUUACAGGAUACAGAUUCUCACUUCUGUAUCUCAAUUAUCUGUGUCCUGGUGAGAUACUUCUCAUCCGUGAAGAGAUAAGUCAAGUUCAAGAAGAACCUUUUUCCCCUUGUAAUUGUGUGAUCUUCAUGUAAAUUCUGACGAAGAUAGAAUCAUAACUUGAGAGCUCUGAAAUGUUAUAGCAUCUAUUAUUUCAUCUCAACAGCACAUGCAUCUUUCUAUCUGAUCAUUGUUCACAUUUCCUAUGUUUUGAUCAUGUAACUAUGUGACAAUCAAAAAAUGAUGGGCACGUGCUGCUUAAUCAACUGAAGUUAGCUUGUCAUUAUAUGGUCUCUUAUGCUACCACUCGAAACCUAUAUAUCAUAGCCAAAUUUAGUUGCAAUCAGAUUAAAGACCAUGAUAUUUACCAAAAGUGUUGUUUGUUGUCUUGUGUGUAUACAUGCACUCACUUUCUUCCGUUAGUUUAUUCAGCCUUCCCUUUACACUGAUGUUGAUAAAAAAUUGAGCCCAAACAUGUAUGUGUUGCUUUACUCAUGAGAUUGACUACCUCUUCUGCAUUCAUGUGUUGUAUGUGUAGGUGCUGCAGAAGGUAUGAGGUGAUUUGAAGGUCAAAGAAAUGGAAUGAAUUCAAUGCCUGCGAUGAAUAUGGGAGGGAUCUUAUAGUUCAGAGAAAAAUUGUGGAGUCUCAUUGAACAUUUUGGCGAUUUUAUGAUUUAGUUUUGCAUGUUGGAUGAGUGCCCAAUAAUUGGCCCUUAAUUUUGUUUCUAGUCAGCAGAGGUGGUCUGCAGACAAGUAGUUUUUGGCCGAUUGGCUGCUUCUAUCUAUACUUUUUACCAAUGAGAUUUCAAUUGAACAAGGUAUUGCUCAA
Long non-coding RNA from Populus nigra (black poplar), 2772 nucleotides. RefSeq lists it as uncharacterized. The record is from RefSeq and is a predicted model, not a curated record. Lineage: Eukaryota; Viridiplantae; Streptophyta; Magnoliopsida; Malpighiales; Salicaceae. The transcript has 2 exons.